AGAUGAGAGCAAGAUCUGACUGUGUGUGACAUCUGUCACCCCACCUAUUGCCAUGGUUGAUCUGAUUGAUCUGGCUGGCUACGCUGGUGUCCCAUUCCUCCAUCGCUGAUCCAUGCGUUUCCCUCCUGAAGCUGCAAUGCUCAACAGAAGAGAGCCUUCCCUGAAUUGGGAAAGGCAGGAGGAUGGUAGCUGUACUCCCCCGCUAGAGCUUCUAAGCAAGAUCAUAAGAAGCUGGGACAAGUCUCUUGUAGUCACAGUAUGAACAGCUAGUAAGUCUUACUAGCCUUAGGGAGAGUGGGACAAGCCUAGGAAUAGACUUUAUU
RNAcentral lists this small nuclear RNA (323 nucleotides) under Rattus norvegicus (Norway rat). RNAcentral describes it as "7SK RNA". The stretch from base 1 to 288 matches the Rfam family "7SK RNA". Rfam says of the family: 7SK was discovered as an abundant small nuclear RNA in the mid-70s but a possible function has only recently been suggested. Two independent studies have found that 7SK RNA binds the CDK9/cyclin T complex (known as elongation factor P-TEFb). The record is from Rfam by way of RNAcentral. Lineage: Eukaryota; Metazoa; Chordata; Mammalia; Rodentia; Muridae.